AUAUCAAUAAAGUAUACUAAACGGACAAAUGUUAAAAAAAUAAAAAAAUUUAGAUUGCUUGCGAAGUUAUUCAAAUUAGCUGGGACUGCGUUUUUAUCGAGAUAUGUGUUUCUUGGUCUGUGAUGUACAAAGUAAGAUUGUAUGGAGUAAACAGUGAUAAGGACAGCAUUUUUGCAUAUGGAUUAUCUAAAAGUGGUUCUGAUUGGAGAACUUUUCAUUUCUUGAAUGCAUAUAUUGGUAAAAUAAUAGUAACAUUCUUGAGAGCUACAUUUCUGCUUCUAAUGUAAUAGACUUUUUAUACAUUCUGCACAUUGCACAACAAAUUUUGGAAAAAGUCAAGUUUGCACCGAUUACAUGGACUCAUGACAACCGUGGUAUUUUUUAUGGACAGUAUCAAAAUCAGUAAGGAGGAACUGACAUACAGAAUUUUUAUGUAGAAUAAUUACAGUAACGACGGAAUUUAUUCAUUGGGAGACUAUCGAUGAUGUGACAGUUAGUUCGACAUAUGUUGUCUCAUGGAUGAGCAAGUGUCAAAUGUUGGCUUCUAUCUGGAAAAUUAAUAAUGAUGAAUUGAGAAUACAUCAAGCUUGUUAGGUGUACACAAAUGGUUUCGAUCGCUUGGCAAAAGAGAACGUUUGAAAUAGUCUAUACAAAUGCCAACACUGUGGAAUUAAUUCGACGAGUAUUCAGUGCAUUUACCUAAAACUCAC
Molecule: long non-coding RNA, 710 nt
Organism: Trachymyrmex cornetzi
Lineage: Eukaryota; Metazoa; Arthropoda; Insecta; Hymenoptera; Formicidae
Exons: 4
Source: RefSeq, a predicted model, not a curated record